AGAAGAUGAUGUUACUUUCAAUAUGACAGAAGGUGGAUGAAGUGGUGGACUGCCCCUCCACACCUAUGGACACGCCCCCACUGAUAUUCCUUCUAAUUGCAACAUGGGAGAGGAGGAUAUGACACGCGAUAUCACAGGGAGUAGAAACGCCCCUGUGAUACUGUUCUUAAUAUUCAGGGAGGAAGAGGAUAAUAUUACUCCCAAUACAGAUGGGUGUACACCCGUCUGUGAAAGAGUUCGUAAUCUCCAGAGGGGGAGAUGAUAUUACUCACAAUAUGGUAAAGAGGCUGUGAGUCCACGGAGGAUCCUCAGAGCCAGCGGGGGAAGAGGGGCUGGCUCUCAGUCCCCGCCUCACGGGGGUGCCUCCCCCCACUGCGAUGGGGGUCCUAAGAGCCAGUGGGGGAAGAGGGGCUGGCUCCUAAGAGCCAGUGGGGGAAGAGGAGCUGGCUCUCAGUCUCCGCCUCGCGAGGUGCCUCCCCACCUUGCGAUCGGGGUCCCAAGAGCCAGGGGGGAAGAGGGGCUGGCUCUCUUUGUGGAUGAUUCUUUUUCCAUUCUCAGGCAGUUUUCUUUUUUCUUUCUUUCUUUUUUUUUUUUUUGAGACUGAGUCUUGCUCUGUUGCCCAUGCUUUGCUGGAUCUCGGGUGACUGCAACCACUGCCUCCCAGGUUCAAGAGAUUCUCCUGCCUCAGCCUCCUGAGUAGCUGGGACUAGAGGCGUGUGUCACCACACCCAGCUAAUUUUUGUAUUUUUAGUAGAGAUGGGGUUUCACCAUGUUUGCCAGGAUGGUCUCUAUCUCCUGACCUUGUGAUCCACCCACCUCAGCCUCCCAAACUGCUGGGAUUGCAGGUGCGAGCCACCGGGUCCAGCCUCUCAGGCGAUUUUCAUACCUGCAUACUCUGAUCACUACUCUGUUAAACAGUCAAGUAGGGUAAGUAUUAUCUUCAGAUUUCCAGAGCUCUGUCUCUGUACAGCCCUCUCCUCCUCAAUAUUCUGCCCUAUGAAUUCUAGCCACAUUGGCCUUCCCAGACUCACAGUUCUGUCCCCUCAACUCAGGAAGAUCUCUGAGCUCCAUCUGCAUUCUUUCUUCCUGUGCUGUGGCCUGGAAAGUUUUCUAAGGUGUUUGGGAGGUCAAUUGUGGGGCUAGCCUCAUUUGUUUCUCAUUUCUUGAGGAUCACUGCCUUUUGAUGCUUGAUUCCAGUGAUUGAUUCCCUUUGUUGCUUGAGGGCCAUAGUUUCAUAUAUUUUCUCCAGUAUUUUUGUUGUUUUAGGUCAGAAAGUAAUUUUGGUCUCUGUUACUCCAUCUUGGCCAGAAGUGUAAGACCUAAGCAUUUACACAUCAAAAUACUGCACACAUAAUUUUAGUUUAAGCCACUUUUUAAAAAAUCUCCUUCAUUUUCCAUUUAGCAUUCUAUUUAGGGUAUUACAUUGGUUUUUUUGAAAUUCUGUUAUUGGCAGUUUCUAUUGCCUCUCAAUCCCAUUUAAAGAUAGUGCAUAGGGUAUUCUAAAAUAGCUGUUAAGCAAAGAGAAAAUUGGGCCUGAUAGGGUGAGAAUCACAGCUCUAAUACCUAGAGUGACCUUAUAAUGUAUUGUCCAAAGGAGAUAUUUUUGACAGUGAAAGAGGGUGUUGUUAGUAAUUAUAUCAGGACCAUGGCCUAAACCAGGACUAUCCCAGGCAGCCUGGGACAUAUUUGUACCCCAUCUCUAUUUAAUGCCUUUAUACAAUUCUUUACUUAAUUCUACCAGCCUUUAUUGAGCCUGCUUUCUUUGUCUAGCUGAGUGCCACGUGCUGACAUCACUAAGAUCAAUACAGCAAACUCUGAAAGAUGGACAGAGAGACAGGAGAUGGUCCUUUAUAAUGCAGUGUGAUCUGUGCUGCAAUAGAGAUGGAAGAGUGUUCUGAUCGGCUGGAAAACAACGCACAUGGGAAGCUGUACAGAAAUGAGUGGGGAAAGUUUUGGAAGCUAGAAGUUCAAAACGAGGUGUUGGCAGCACCAUGCUCUCUCUGAAGAUGCUAGGAAGAAUCUGCUCCAUGCCUUUCCAUUCGCUUCUGGGGUUUCCUGCAAGCCCUGACAUUCCUUGGCUUGUAGAUGCAUCACCCCAGUUUCUGCCCCCAUCAUCACAUGGCCUCCUCUCUGCGUGUGCCUCUGCAUUCCCUCUAUUCUUCUUCUAAGGACACCGACACCAGUCAUAGUGGAUUAAGGGUCCACUCCUAACUAAUUACAUCUGCAACAACCCUAUUUCCAAAUAAAGUCACAUUCUAAGA
This 2261-nucleotide long non-coding RNA is filed under the name Pan troglodytes (chimpanzee). RNAcentral describes it as "lincRNA". The record is from RNAcentral. Lineage: Eukaryota; Metazoa; Chordata; Mammalia; Primates; Hominidae.